UGGCACUGAAACACGGGCCAUACUCCUACGGGAGGCAGCAGUGAGGAAUAUUGCACAAUCGACGCAAGUCGGAUGCGAUAACGCCGCGUGGACGAUGAAGGCCUUCGGGUUGUAAAGUCCUUUUAAGAGGGACGAGGAAGGACGGUACCUCUUGAAUAAGUCUCGGCUAACUACGUGCCAGCAGCCGUGGUAACACGUAGGAUGCGAGCGUUAUCCGGAUCUAUUGGGCGUAAAGCGCAUGCAGGUGGCUAGGUAAGUCGGGUGUGAAAGCCCCGGACUUAAUCCGGGGAGGUCAUUCGAUACUGCUUGGCUUGAGAGCGGGAGAGGGAAGUGGAAUUCUCGGUGUAGUGGUGAUAUGCGUAGAUAUCGAGAGGAACACCAGUGGCGAAGGCGGCUUCCUGGCCCGUAUCUGACACUAAGAUGCGAAAGCGUGGGUAGCAAACGGACUUAGAUACUCCGGUAGUCCACGCUGUAAACGAUGGGUACUAGGUGUAGGGGGUGUAAAACUCUCUGUGCCAUAGUUAACGCACUAAGUACCCCGCAUGGGGACUACGGUCGCAAGGCUGAAACUCAAAGGAAUUGACGGGGGCCCGCACAAGCAGCGGAGCGUGUGGUUCAAUUCGAAGAUACACGAAGAACCUUACCUGGGCUUGACAUGUUGGUAGUAGUGAAGCGAAAGCGGAACGAUCCUUCGGGAAGCCAUCACAGGUGCUGCAUGGCUGUCGUCAGCUCGUGCCGUGAGGUGUUGGGUUAAGUCCUGUAACGAGCGCAACCCUCGCUGCCAGUUACAAGUGUCUGGCGGGACUGCCGGUGACAAACCGGAGGAAGGUGGGGAUGACGUCAAGUCAGCAUGGCCUUUAUGUCCAGGGCUACACACACGCUACAAUGGCCGGUACAAUAGGUUGCCAAGUCGUGAGGCGGAGCUAAUCCUCAAAACCGGUCUCAGUUCGAAUUGCAGGCUGCAACCCGCCUGCAUGAAGUUGGAGUUGCUAGUAAACGCGCGUCAGCACUAGCGCGUUGAUACGUUUCCCGGGCCUUGUACACACCGCCCGUCACGUCAUGGGAGUUGUUACACCUGAAGACAGUGGGCU
RNAcentral lists this ribosomal RNA (1091 nucleotides) under uncultured organism. Its description in RNAcentral is "bacterial SSU rRNA". It matches the Rfam family "Bacterial small subunit ribosomal RNA", at positions 314 to 1436 of the family's 1533-position model. The record is from RNAcentral.